GUUCUUUUCUCGCCAGUCGACCGAACCGAGAAGGACAUAUCUCGCCCAAAACUUCAAAAUGCCGCCAACGAAAAAAAACAAGAAGAGUAUCGAGAACAUCAACUCUCGGCUGGCUCUUGUUAUGAAGAGUGGCAAAUAUGUCCUCGGCUACAAACAAACGCUGAAGACACUCCGACAGGGCAAGGCUAAGCUGGUCAUCAUCGCCAACAACACCCCACCCUUAAGGUAAGUUCAACCUUAAUAAACUUGCCAACAAUGAAAUGAUGAACAUCGACUGAAGGUAAAGUUUUGAAUAUUUUUCAAAUGAAGAG
Molecule: long non-coding RNA, 311 nt
Organism: Mizuhopecten yessoensis (Yesso scallop)
Lineage: Eukaryota; Metazoa; Mollusca; Bivalvia; Pectinida; Pectinidae
Exons: 3
Source: RefSeq, a predicted model, not a curated record